AAUAAAAUGGCUGAGUUAGAGGCGAUAAAUUGUAAAUUUAUUUACGAGAUGAAUCUCUUUUAUUA
RNAcentral lists this transfer RNA (65 nucleotides) under Telchinia penelope. RNAcentral describes it as "Acraea penelope tRNA-Tyr". The record is from RNAcentral. Lineage: Eukaryota; Metazoa; Arthropoda; Insecta; Lepidoptera; Nymphalidae.